RNAcentral lists this signal recognition particle RNA (87 nucleotides) under Synergistaceae bacterium. RNAcentral describes it as "signal recognition particle sRNA small type". It matches the Rfam family "Bacterial small signal recognition particle RNA". Rfam says of the family: The signal recognition particle (SRP) is a universally conserved ribonucleoprotein involved in the co-translational targeting of proteins to membranes. Archaeal SRP consists of a 7S RNA and homologues of the eukaryotic SRP19 and SRP54 proteins. Lineage: Bacteria; Thermotogati; Synergistota; Synergistia; Synergistales; Synergistaceae. The record is from RNAcentral.
AGCCUUGUGCGGCGGAGUCCCGCGAACCCUGUCAGGUCCGGAAGGAAGCAGCAGUAAACGGAUUUCUCCGGGUGCCAUGAGUUCACU